UUUGAAGUUUGACAUACUUGUCAAAAGAUCAAAACAAUGUGCGGAAAUUAAAAGCCAACCCAGCCAAUCAUUGUCCACUGCUGAACAUAGGCCUCUCCCAAGGUGCGCCAAAGCUCCCUGUCCUCCGCCUUCCGCAUCCAGUUGGUGCCCGCCACCUUCUUAAGGUCAUCGGUUCACCUGGCUGAUUUAUUUAAAUCAUAUUGAACCUUAAGUCAUACAGGUACAAUAGAAAAUCCUUUAGGAACAUAUAUGUUCUUUGAAGAUGAUCCAUCGCCUCAUUGUGCAGAUCCUUUAUUUGACAAGUUACCUGAA
Long non-coding RNA from Nymphalis io (European peacock), 312 nucleotides. RefSeq lists it as uncharacterized. The transcript is spliced from 4 exons. The record is from RefSeq and is a predicted model, not a curated record. NCBI's taxonomy places the organism in Eukaryota, Metazoa, Arthropoda, Insecta, Lepidoptera, Nymphalidae.